GACGUAGGGGGCCAGCGUUGCUCGGAAUUACUGGGCGUAAAGGGUUCGUAGGCGGUGUGGCAAGUCGGAAGUGAAAUCUCUGGGCUUAACUCAGAGGCUGCUUCCGAAACUGCCGUGCUAGAGUGCGGGAGAGGCGAGUGGAAUUACAGGUGUAGCGGUGAAAUGCGUAGAUAUCUGUAAGAACACCCGUGGCGAAGGCGGCUCUCUGGACCGUAACUGACGCUGAGGAACGAAAGCUAGGGGAG
RNAcentral lists this ribosomal RNA (245 nucleotides) under uncultured bacterium. RNAcentral's name for it is "partial 16S ribosomal RNA". It matches the Rfam family "Bacterial small subunit ribosomal RNA", at positions 524 to 768 of the family's 1533-position model. The record is from RNAcentral.